UCCAGACUCCUACGGGAGGCAGCAGUGAGGAAUAUUGGUCAAUGGGCGAGAGCCUGAACCGGCCAAGUCGCGUGAGGGAGUACUGCCCUAUGGGUUGUAAACCUCUUUUGUCGGAGAGCAAAAGCCGGACGUGUCCGGCUGUGAGAGUACCCGAAGAAAAAGCAUCGGCUAACUCCGUGCCAGCAGCCGCGGUAAUACGGAGGAUGCGAGCGUUAUCCGGAAUUAUUGGGCGCAAAGGGUGCGUAGAUGGCAUAGUAAGUCUUUUGUAAAAAUGCUGGGCUCAACCCAGUAGGGCAAAAGAUACUGCAAAGCUAGAGUAUGACAGAGGCAAGUGGAACUACAUGUGUAGCGGUAAAAUGCGUAAAUAUAUGUAAGAACACCAGUGGCGAAGGCGGCUUGCUGGGUCGAUACUGACAUUGAGGCACGAAAGCGUGGGGAGCAAACAGGAUUAGAUACCCCAGUAA
RNAcentral lists this ribosomal RNA (464 nucleotides) under uncultured bacterium. Its description in RNAcentral is "bacterial SSU rRNA". It matches the Rfam family "Bacterial small subunit ribosomal RNA", at positions 330 to 793 of the family's 1533-position model. The record is from RNAcentral.